RNAcentral lists this non-coding RNA (190 nucleotides) under Paenibacillus sp. CECT 9249. The record is from RNAcentral. Lineage: Bacteria; Bacillati; Bacillota; Bacilli; Caryophanales; Paenibacillaceae.
CAAUAUAUUGUGGGGAUAGGUGCCUUGAAGCGCGAUUUCAAGGCUUAAAAGGGAAGUUCGGUGCAAUGCCGACGCGGUCCCGCCACUGUAACAGAGGAGUCAUUGCCAGGAAGCCACUGGAUUCGUCCGGGAAGGCAGCAAUGACGAUGAGACUGGAGCCAGGAGACCUGCCUGUUCUGACAGCACUGUU